GACAAGAAAAAAAAAAAAAGAUGAUUGUGUAACUUCUUGUUAAGCAAACAUUUUCUUUUAUGCAGGGAAAGGUACAGGGGUCCAGGAGAAAGGAAAAAAAAAAUGUGAUCAUGUAAUUAAAGACUGUAUCAAAAUAUAUAUCCACAAGAAAGCCAAAACAAAAAAGUUGCAUAAGCAGAUUUAAUUCUAGAAUUUGAUAACUUUAAAGUACUUGGUUUUACAGUCUUCAGCAUGCCUUUCUAAUAUAUGCUUUUCAGCCUCUGUGCUCAUUUCACUGUUUUUACUGCUACCUAAAACUGAUCCCAUCCCUUCACAAAAAUAAGUAUCCUCAUCAAAUACAAAAUGGAUAUUUACAUUGUAAAAAUAAGAACCACCAACAGAAUACAAACAAGAAAGGGUUAUGUCUGUAGGGCUGUAGGGCUGAGCUACAGCUGUAUCGAGGUAAAACAGAUUGGCUUAAUUGCAAGAGCUUUGCAUGAUGAGGUUCUGAUGGGAGAAUAUCUUAUUGCUUAGCCAGAUGUUGUGAGUUUACCCUGACUGUGAGAGUGAUGACACAGCUUACUUGCUCUUCAGAGCCAUGUAGUAUUAGGCAGGGAGUUGGAGUACUUUAGUCAUCACAACUCUGAAGGUUUUCUUCUCGCUUUGGAGACAAGCCAGAGCCUUUUAACAACACAUUAUGCUGGUGACUGGAUAGUUCCGGGGGCUAAUGAGGAGACAGAAAAUCACAGUGAACCCAGUGACCAUUUCAAAUCCAAGUGUUGCAUCAGAGCAGUUUUCCAAAGCUGGUGAUGCUCUGCGGAUCAGUGAUUUGCUUCAGGAUGCCCCUCACUCUCCUGCACUAACUGCAGCUCCUGCUGAAUUGGGAAAGAAAAGAACAUAUUGAAAAAGAGAGAGAAAGACAAAGAGGAAAGUGUGCUUCUGGAUUUUGCAAAUAUCUCUAAGUGUCACUACAAGAUUUUACCUGCACACUCACCAAUUUCAUGUUAGGCAUGGUAAGUGACUUAUCUUUGCCUUAUAGUAAUGGAAAACGUUCUUAAAGAAACAAAGGUUCCUCUCUGGCAGAUACUCAUCCAGUUCCUUAGCUAGUGCACAUUCCUGCAGCCAUCAUCAGGCUGUAGUAGUAUGCUGUCCUACAGUUAGGUUAUUAUUUGCUCAAAACGGGUUUCAGUUGAAGGUAUUAUAAGAAAGUGUAAGUCUAUUUGUGCCCUGGAAAACAGUGGUUCAUUUUCUUCCGUUACCUCUGAUCAGUAUUUUAUCCCUAGAAGUAGUUACAGGCUUGUGAUAAAACCAAAGCUCAAAAUGAAUGUACUGUAUUCAGAAAUAUGUCUCACAAUCGAUCACUAAGUGUUGGGGAACACUCCCAGCUAACACAGCAUUACUGUUACCUGAUUAUACGUAGCUGUAUUAAUCAGAUGGAGGAUAUAUUUUCAGACAUCUGAAUAUGUUAAUGUUUUUUCUCAGAACAUUAUCUUUUAACUCUGUACCUACUUUUCUCAGUUUGCACAUUUUCUUAAAGUAUAGAAAGAAUAUUUAUGUACUUUAGGUUCUGAUUCCCCACAGCUCAGGAUGUGGCCCAUUGCUGUGGUAUGUGACACAGCUAGUAUUGAGAAAAAGGGAGGUUACACCUAA
Long non-coding RNA from Anser cygnoides (Swan goose), 1629 nucleotides. The record is from Ensembl. Lineage: Eukaryota; Metazoa; Chordata; Aves; Anseriformes; Anatidae.